RNAcentral lists this ribosomal RNA (484 nucleotides) under uncultured bacterium. RNAcentral describes it as "partial 16S ribosomal RNA". It matches the Rfam family "Bacterial small subunit ribosomal RNA", at positions 30 to 507 of the family's 1533-position model. The record is from RNAcentral.
AUUGAACGCUGGCGGCAGGCCUAACACAUGCAAGUCGAGCGGAUGAAGGGAGCUUGCUCCUGGAUUCAGCGGCGGACGGGUGAGUAAUGCCUAGGAAUCUGCCUGGUAGUGGGGGAUAACGUCCGGAAACGGGCGCUAAUACCGCAUACGUCCUGAGGGAGAAAGGGGGGGAUCUUCGGACCUCACGCUAUCAGAUGAGCCUAGGUCGGAUUAGCUAGUUGGUGGGGUAAAGGCCUACCAAGGCGACGAUCCGUAACUGGUCUGAGAGGAUGAUCAGUCACACUGGAACUGAGACACGGUCCAGACUCCUACGGGAGGCAGCAGUGGGGAAUAUUGGACAAUGGGCGAAAGCCUGAUCCAGCCAUGCCGCGUGUGUGAAGAAGGUCUUCGGAUUGUAAAGCACUUUUAGUUGGGAGGAAGGGCAGUAAGUUAAUACCUUGCUGUUUUGACGGUACCAACAGAAUAAGCACCGGCUAACUUCGUG